RNAcentral lists this ribosomal RNA (463 nucleotides) under uncultured bacterium. RNAcentral describes it as "bacterial SSU rRNA". It matches the Rfam family "Bacterial small subunit ribosomal RNA", at positions 28 to 507 of the family's 1533-position model. The record is from RNAcentral.
GACGAACGCUGGCGGCGUGCCUAACACAUGCAAGUCGAGCGAAUGAAGUUUCUUCGGGAACGGAUUUAGCGGCGGACGGGUGAGUAACACGUGGGCAACCUGCCUCAUAGAGGGGAAUAGCCUUCCGAAAGGGAGAUUAAUACCGCAUAAGAUUGUAGUACCGCAUGGUACAGCAAUUAAAGGAGCAAUCCGCUAUGAGAUGGGCCCGCGGCGCAUUAGCUAGUUGGUGAGGUAACGGCUCACCAAGGCGACGAUGCGUAGCCGACCUGAGAGGGUGAACGGCCACAUUGGAACUGAGACACGGUCCAAACUCCUACGGGAGGCAGCAGUGGGGAAUAUUGGGCAAUGGGCGAAAGCCUGACCCAGCAACGCCGCGUGAAGGAAGAAGGUCUUCGGAUUGUAAACUUUGUUGUCAGUGAAGAAUAAGGACAGUAACUGACGAGGAAGCCCGGCUAACUACGUG